RNAcentral lists this ribosomal RNA (398 nucleotides) under uncultured bacterium. RNAcentral's name for it is "partial 16S ribosomal RNA". It matches the Rfam family "Bacterial small subunit ribosomal RNA", at positions 361 to 775 of the family's 1533-position model. The record is from RNAcentral.
AUAUUUCUCAAUGGGGGAAACCCUGACGCAGCAACGCCGCGUGAGUGAAGAAGGUNUUNNGAUCGNANAACUCUGUCUUUGGGNNNNNAAAAUGACGGUACCCAAGGAGGAAGCCCCGGCUAACUACGUGCCAGCAGCCGCGGUAAUACGUAGGGGGCAAGCGUUGUCCGGAAUUAUUGGGCGUAAAGGGCGUGUAGGCGGUAGAUUAAGUCAGAUGUGAAAGUUAGGGGCUCAACCCCGAAAUAGCAUUUGAAACUGGUUUACUUGAGUACUGGAGAGGUAAGCGGAAUUCCUAGUGUAGCGGUGAAAUGCGUAGAUAUUAGGAGGAACACCAGUGGCGAAGGCGGCUUACUGGACAGAUACUGACGCUGAGGCGCGAAAGCGUGGGGAGCAAACAG